CUGGCGGCGUGCCUAACACAUGCAAGUCGAGCGGAGAUAAUGGGAGAUUCUCGGAUGAUCCCGCUAUCUUAGCGGCGGAUGGGUGAGUAACACGUGGGUAACCUGCCCUGCACAGGGGGAUAACAGCUGGAAACGGCUGUUAAUACCGCAUAUGCACACGCUGCCGCAUGGCAGGGGGUGGAAAGAUUUAUCGGUGCAGGAUGGGCCCGCGUCGGAUUAACUAGUUGGCAGGGUAACGGCCUACCAAGGUGAUGAUCCGUAGCCGACCUGAGAGGGUGACCGGCCACAUUGGGACUGAGACACGGCCCAAACUCCUACGGGAGGCAGCAGUGGGGGAUAUUGCACAAUGGGCGCAAGCCUGAUGCAGCGACGCCGCGUGAAGGAAGAAGUAUUUCGGUAUGUAAACUUCUAUCAGCGGGGAAGAAGAUGACGGUACCCGACUAAGAAGCCCCGGCUAACUACGUGCCAGCAGCCGC
RNAcentral lists this ribosomal RNA (476 nucleotides) under uncultured bacterium. Its description in RNAcentral is "bacterial SSU rRNA". It matches the Rfam family "Bacterial small subunit ribosomal RNA", at positions 36 to 518 of the family's 1533-position model. The record is from RNAcentral.